This is a long non-coding RNA of Oncorhynchus tshawytscha (Chinook salmon), 1885 nucleotides long. NCBI's taxonomy places the organism in Eukaryota, Metazoa, Chordata, Actinopteri, Salmoniformes, Salmonidae. The record is from Ensembl.
CUGAGUGAGACUGGAGCGCCAACAAAGCCAGCAAGUUAUUAAGAUCCAAUGUAUUUGCUGCUGCAUUCAUCACUGUCUUUAUGGGGGAAGGUUUUUACGCAUUCUCUUUUAGCACAAUAUACAUUGCCAGAGUCACUUAUUUGAACCACACAUCCCACCCAGAACCUCUAAACGAAUAACAGUAGCUGCCUCAUCUCAAUUCAGUGCAGCAUCUUUUGCCAACGCGUCGUAUUCCAGAUAGGCGAGGAUGAAUGACUAUAGACUACAACGAAGCGGCAAAGUCACAAUGCAAAAUAGAACAUCAUUCUUAUCCAGCACCGUGAUUGCUGAACUUCUUCAAUUUCGUGAUGAUUGUUUUGUCUUAAGUUCUAUUCGAGUUGUAACCCAGAUCUAUUCAAUCUGUUCAUUCUGAACAGGAAAAACACAGAACCGUUCGCCGACCAUUCAGAUAAAAUCAGUCCAUUUGCUGCAAAUAUACAUUACAAAGACAUCCACCCUCAGUCCAUUUGCUUCAGAAACAGUAUAUUAUUACGUCCAUUACAACAUCUGACGAACCAUUCCACUAAGGCCUCCCAUUGGUUUCAACUCUAGUCCAAUCAGGUACUGCAUAUUAUUAACGAAGGCAUUCUGUAUGUCGAUAAUAGGUGGGUGUAUAGCUGACCAUGUUAAAAAUGUCAAAGCAAAGGUAAUGAAGGGGUGUAACAGUCCCAGGCAUUCUGGGACACGGCGUAGUUGUUGGUGGGGGACAGCAUCUGCUAGCAAUAUCGCUGCCUCGUGUUGUAACCGAUUUAGGAUGUCCGUGAGAGGAACUCAAGAGAAUAACUGCUGUCAUAGCUGUAGUAUUCCCAAGAGCUACUGCUGCAUGCUGACCUGUAUAUUGCCUGUGAGACAGCAGGAAUACUGCACUAUUUAAAUUGCACUGUAGGUCCUUUCUUGUUGGUGUCUGUUCAUGCAGUCAAUGAGGUAUUCUCAAAUGUCAAUAUUACUAUGGCUAAGACUGGAAUAAUGUACACCUCGACCCGCAAAAGCCAUGACAAAAAUCAACUCUGCAAUUUUCAAGUGUACCAGUUUCUUUCUUUUUUUUAGGUUCAUUGGAAUGGGUAGUUUAUUACUAUGAUGUGACGACGUAGGAAAGGUUUGUCUUGAAAAAACAUCAAGAAUAAAGGGAGAAAACGUGCCGGAAUGCUAGAAAGAGAGGUCAAGUUUUUUGUAGACCUGCAUUAAAUUCUAUUUUCUUAAUAUUGAUGUCAGCCUACAUGGUAUGCAAGCAAAUGGUCACCCAGGGGGGAGAGUAAGUCUUGGGGUGACUUUAUGCUAUAUACAGGAAAAGAAUGUGCGAUUUUGGCAACAAAGUUUGACCAUUCAUUAUUGAGCCUACCAUGUAUGUGCAUCCUUUAAACAAGACUCAGUAGUAUUUAGUAUUCAGCAAUAUAUGUCCAGUUUACCUACUUCAGGGUUGAGUUCACUAGCCCGAAGUACAUAGUUGAAAUCAGCUGAAUGUUUUAUCUACCUGGCAGGUUUAUUUCAGAUCCCUUGGUGGGAAAAUGUCAGAUAUAUUCAGGAAAACUGCUUCUGCAAAUUAAACGAUGCAUGCUAACCUUGGUUGUUAUUAUUGCAUUUGAUUGUUUUGUUUAAUUUUAAAUGAAUGACUUUCCAAACUUGUCUGUUAGGUUUAAGUCCAGAAUUCUUACUGUUGGUUCCCUAGCUAUAUUAUCAUUGACUUUUAUAAUACUUCGCUAUCAUGUAGAAACAACUAUGCCCUUGUAUGCUAUAAUUAACCAUUUAUAAAAUGUAAUACUUUUGGCAUCAUGCACAGAAUUUUUUUUAUAUGUUUUUUUUUUCUGUAAUGAAUGAGCAAUGUCCAUUAAAGGAUUUUGAAGAGAUA